UAUAAUAUUUGCUAUGAACAACAAAUAAUGUAGUGCGUUCUUCAGCGAGGGUUGGGCUGUUAUCUAGCAGUGACAUUAGUGAGCUUGAAUCCCAGAAUUGGCCAAUUUAUUAUAGGUUGAAAUAUUAUUACUUGAGCAAUAUAAUUAAAAAAAUAUGAGGUCAACAUUGGUUAGAUCAUAGACAGGCUUUACAGUGUGAGAUGCUUAGAAGACAAUUAUGAGAUCAAGAUAUGACAAAGAAUAUAUGUAUUUAUUCCAAAGAGUUCCUUUCAUUCUUCACCUUAGAUAUUGUCCAUCAUGUUACCUAACCAACGAUCUCCUGAAUCUGAGCAAUUUACUCCUCAAAUAAGCAGUCUUACAGGAAUAUGUUAGCCAAUAUAGAGGAAAAACAAGAAAGGGAAAAAGGAUGUUCGGAAAAAAAAUAAUAAUAAUAAUAAGGAAUGUAAAAUUCCUUAUCUAUGUUCGAUGCUGAACAUGUAUCAACCUAUAAUAUAAUUUAUGAAUGGACAUAAAUGUACUGCCAUAUUAGAAGAGAAUUUUUUUAUCCUUUUCUUCUUUCUUUCUCUCUCUUUUCUUUUUCAUUUUUGAAUGUGUGCGCGCUCGCAUGGAAAGGAUGUGAGGGUGGAGAUCAGCUCUUUUGAAUUGAAUGAUAUUUUUAAGGAGCCUAAGUUUAUUUUGGAAUAGAUUUUAUUUAUAUGCAUAGGUAUAUGCCGAAAUUUAUGAGAGUCCAUAUCCUCUUUUUUACUUGGCAUUGCACCCGAACAUUAUAAAUGAAGUUCCUGUUAAAUUGUUAAUGGACAGCUGCGAUACGUAGUAUAGUGGCAACAAUGUCAUAUUCUGUCAUUUUCCAUUAUGUGAUUGUAAUUUCUGGUGGCUGAAAUUUCAGGGCUACAAGGAUUUGACUGGAACUGCAUGGUCUUAUGCAUACUUCGUCAGCUUCUAUCUUAUUACAAUCUUACUACUACUGAAUUUGGUUGUGGCAUUCGUAUUGGAGGCUUUCUUCGCUGAAAUGGAUCUUGAAACUUCUGAGAAAUGUGAAGAUGCAACUGGCAAGGAUGAAAUUCAUCAGGGGCAUCGACGACGUAAUGUGGGCACGAAGACAAGGAGUCAGAGAGUUCAGAUGCUUCUCCACCAUAUGUUGAGCGCUGAGCUGGGGAAAACAGAGUGCUCCUCCCCAUAAAGUCGAUAUAUUUCUUAUCCUUGCAGGUACCUCCAACAAGAGAAGGACGAAACAAGUAUUCAGGAGAUGAUUUAGCAAUUUCAGAGAUUUCCAUCGAUCCUGCUUUUGCGUCACCGAAGGCAAAAAAUUGGACCCACUUCGUUUUCUGGAAUAUUACAUAUAUUUUCUACCAGCUUUUUCUUUUUUUAUUUAUUUAUUUUUUUGCCUGAAUUGUUGAAGAGGACCCCCUACGGGUUCCCUUCUAGUCGAACCCCUAUUCUAUUGCUGGGAUACAACUUUUUUGGGUGGUAUUGUGUCCCAAAUCCAAUGGUAGUGGUGGUUUCUAUGUGCAUUUUGUGGAUGGAAAAUGUAAAGGGAUUCAGUCUUGUGUUUGCAACACUUUUACAGGCAUAUGUAUUCAAGAUUGAGUAAAAAAUUUAUAAUUGGACACUGGCAUUUAGAAAUGA
Long non-coding RNA from Olea europaea var. sylvestris, 1626 nucleotides. RefSeq lists it as uncharacterized. The transcript has 5 exons. NCBI's taxonomy places the organism in Eukaryota, Viridiplantae, Streptophyta, Magnoliopsida, Lamiales, Oleaceae. The record is from RefSeq and is a predicted model, not a curated record.